AGUGAACGCUGGCGGUAGGCCUAACACAUGCAAGUCGAACGGCAGCACAGUAAGAGCUUGCUCUUACGGGUAGCGAGUGGCGGACGGGUGAGGAAUACAUCGGAAUCUACUUUUUCGUGGGGGAUAACGUAGGGAAACUUACGCUAAUACCGCAUACGACCUACGGGUGAAAGCAGGGGAUCUUCGGACCUUGCGCGAUUGAAUGAGCCGAGGUCGGAUUAGCUAGUUGGCGGGGUAAAGGCCCACCAAGGCGACGAUCCGUAGCUGGUCUGAGAGGAUGAUCAGCCACACUGGAACUGAGACACGGUCCAGACUCCUACGGGAGGCAGCAGUGGGGAAUAUUGGACAAAGGGCGCAAGCCUGAUCCAGCCAUACCGCGUGGGUGAAGAAGGCCUUCGGGUUGUAAAGCCCUUUUGUUGGGAAAGAAAAGCAGCAGGUUAAUACCCCGCUGUUCUGACGGUACCCAAAGAAUAAGCACCGGCUAACUUCGUG
Molecule: ribosomal RNA, 492 nt
Filed under: uncultured bacterium
Lineage: Bacteria
Description: partial 16S ribosomal RNA
Rfam family: Bacterial small subunit ribosomal RNA
Source: RNAcentral